UACGGAGGGUGCAAGCGUUAUCCGGAUUCACUGGGUUUAAAGGGUGCGUAGGUGGGUUGGUAAGUCAGUGGUGAAAUCUCCAGGCUUAACUUGGAAACUGCCAUUGAUACUAUCAAUCUUGAAUACCGUGGAGGUCAGCGGAAUAUGUCAUGUAGCGGUGAAAUGCUUAGAUAUGACAUAGAACACCAAUUGCGAAGGCAGCUGGCUACACGAAUAUUGACACUGAUGCACGAAAGCGUGGGGAUCAAA
RNAcentral lists this ribosomal RNA (249 nucleotides) under uncultured bacterium. RNAcentral's name for it is "partial 16S ribosomal RNA". It matches the Rfam family "Bacterial small subunit ribosomal RNA", at positions 524 to 772 of the family's 1533-position model. The record is from RNAcentral.